RNAcentral lists this ribosomal RNA (253 nucleotides) under uncultured bacterium. RNAcentral's name for it is "partial 16S ribosomal RNA". It matches the Rfam family "Bacterial small subunit ribosomal RNA", at positions 524 to 776 of the family's 1533-position model. The record is from RNAcentral.
UACGUAGGGGGCUAGCGUUGUCCGGAAUCAUUGGGCGUAAAGCGCGUGUAGGCGGUCUGUCGCGUCUGCUGUGAAAAUCCGGGGCUCAACCCCGGACUUGCAGUGGGUACGGGCAGACUAGAGUGUGGUAGGGGAGACUGGAAUUCCUGGUGUAGCGGUGAAAUGCGCAGAUAUCAGGAGGAACACCGAUGGCGAAGGCAGGUCUCUGGGCCACUACUGACGCUGAGAAGCGAAGGCAUGGGGAGCGAACAGG